RNAcentral lists this ribosomal RNA (89 nucleotides) under Planococcus citreus. RNAcentral's name for it is "partial 16S ribosomal RNA". It matches the Rfam family "Bacterial small subunit ribosomal RNA", at positions 1 to 85 of the family's 1533-position model. The record is from RNAcentral. Lineage: Bacteria; Bacillati; Bacillota; Bacilli; Caryophanales; Caryophanaceae.
CUAUAAUGGAGAGUUUGAUCCUGGCUCAGGACGAACGCUGGCGGCGUGCCUAAUACAUGCAAGUCGAGCGGAGAUAGUGGAGCUUGCUC